GGCCAGACUCCUACGGGAGGCAGCAGUGGGGAAUAUUGCACAAUGGGGGAAACCCUGAUGCAGCGACGCCGCGUGAGUGAAGAAGUAUUUCGGUAUGUAAAGCUCUAUCAGCAGGGAAGAAAAUGACGGUACCUGAUUAAGAAGCCCCGGCUAACUACGUGCCAGCAGCCGCGGUAAUACGUAGGGGGCAAGCGUUAUCCGGAUUUACUGGGUGUAAAGGGAGCGUAGACGGUGAUGCAAGUCAGAAGUGAAAGCCCGGGGCUCAACUCCGGGACUGCUUUUGAAACUGUGUGACUGGAGUGUAGGAGAGGUAAGCGGAAUUCCUGGUGUAGCGGUGAAAUGCGUAGAUAUCAGGAGGAACACCAGUGGCGAAGGCGGCUUACUGGACUGUAACUGACGUUGAGGCUCGAAAGCGUGGGGAGCAAACAGGAUUAGAUACCCUCGUAUU
Molecule: ribosomal RNA, 448 nt
Filed under: uncultured bacterium
Lineage: Bacteria
Description: bacterial SSU rRNA
Rfam family: Bacterial small subunit ribosomal RNA
Source: RNAcentral